GAGACCCACGCCAACAGUUGCCAGCAUGUCCUCCGGGAUGGUGGGGACACUGUUGGGACCGCCUCUGCUAAAGAGGAGGAAGGAAUGGGCAACGGUAGGUCAGCAUGCCCCGAAUUAUCCGGGCUACACGCGGGCUACAAUGGGCAGGACAAUGGGUUUCGACACCGAAAGGUGAAGGCAAUCUCUUAAACCUGCUCGUAGUUCGGAUUGCGGGUUGCAACUCGCCCGCAUGAAGCUGGAAUCUGUAGUAAUCGCGUCUCAAAAUGGNNCGGUGAAUAUG
Molecule: ribosomal RNA, 280 nt
Filed under: uncultured bacterium
Lineage: Bacteria
Description: partial 16S rRNA
Rfam family: Archaeal small subunit ribosomal RNA
Source: RNAcentral